This 520-nucleotide ribosomal RNA is filed under the name uncultured Glomus. Its description in RNAcentral is "SSU rRNA". It matches the Rfam family "Eukaryotic small subunit ribosomal RNA", at positions 569 to 1091 of the family's 1831-position model. The record is from RNAcentral. Lineage: Eukaryota; Fungi; Glomeromycota; Glomeromycetes; Glomerales; Glomeraceae.
AGCAGCCGCGGUAAUUCCAGCUCCAAUAGCGUAUAUUAAAGUUGUUGCAGUUAAAAAGCUCGUAGUUGAAUUUCGGGGUCAGUAGGUUGGUCAUGCCUCCGGUAUGUACUGGUCUCACUGAUUCCUCCUUCCUGAUGAGCCGUAAUGCCAUUAAUUUGGUGUUGCGGGGAAUCUGGACUGUUACUUUGAAAAAAUUAGAGUGUUUAAAGCAAGCUAACGCUUGAAUACAUUAGCAUGGAAUAAUGGAAUAGGACGUUCGAUCCUAUUUUGUUGGUUUCUAGGAUUGACGUAAUGAUUAAUAGGGAUAGUUGGGGGCAUUAGUAUUCAAUUGUCAGAGGUGAAAUUCUUGGAUUUAUUGAAGACUAACUACUGCGAAAGCAUUUGCCAAGGAUGUUUUCAUUAAUCAAGAACGAAAGUUAGGGGAUCGAAGGCGAUCAGAUACCGUCGUAGUCUUAACCAUAAACUAUGCCGACUAGGGAUCGGAUGAUGUUAAUUUUUAAUGACUCAUUCGGCGCCUUAA